Molecule: transfer RNA, 63 nt
Filed under: Rattus norvegicus (Norway rat)
Lineage: Eukaryota; Metazoa; Chordata; Mammalia; Rodentia; Muridae
Rfam family: tRNA
About the family: Transfer RNA (tRNA) molecules are approximately 80 nucleotides in length. Their secondary structure includes four short double-helical elements and three loops (D, anti-codon, and T loops).
Source: Rfam by way of RNAcentral
GGGGAUUUAGCUCAGCGGUAGAGCGCUUGCCUAGCAAGUGCAAGGCCCUGGGUUCAGUCCCCG